AAAAAAGAUAUUAAGGGCCAUAGGUGGAUGCCUUGGCUGGUAGAGGCGAUGAAAGACGUAAUAGGCUGCGAUAAGCCUCGGGGAGCUGCCAAUGAGCUUUGAUCCGGGGAUUUCUGAAUGGGGCAACCCAGCAUGGUGCGAAUCAUGUUACCCUUCGGGGGGCGAACCUAGGGAAGUGAAACAUCUCAGUACCUAGAGGAAGAGAAAUCAAACGAGAUUCCCAGAGUAGCGGCGAGCGAAAUGGGAUUAGGGCGGUUAGCGAUAGCAUAUUUAUUAGCAGAAGAGUUUGGAAAGACUCGGCAUAGAGGGUGAUACUCCCGUAAGCGAAAAUAUUUAUGUGGUACUAGGUUAACGAACGAGUAGGUCGGGACACGUGUUAUCUUGACUGAAUAUGGGGGGACCACCCUCCAACCCUAAAUACUACUACCAGACCGAUAGCGAACUAGUACCGUGAGGGAAAGGUGAAAAGGACCGCGGUGAGCGGAGUGAAAUAGAACCUGAAACCUAUGGCUUACAAUCAUUCGGAGCACUAUUUUAAUGUGUGACGGACUGCCUUUUGCAUAAUGAGCCUGCGAGUUGUGGUAUCUGGCAAGGUUAAUCGAACGAGAAGCCGUAGCGAAAGCGAGUCUUAAUAGGGCGAAUUAGUCAGAUGCUGCAGACCCGAAACUAAGUGAUCUAUCCAUGUGCAGGUUGAAGCUGGUGUAAGAGCCAGUGGAGGACCGAACCCGUAUAGGUUGAAAACUGUUGGGAUGACAUGUGGAUAGGGGUGAAAGGCCAAUCAAACUUAGUGAUAGCUGGUUCUCUCCGAAAUAUAUUUAGGUAUAGCCUCGAGCAUUAGCAUGAAGGGGUAGAGCACUGACAGGGCUAGGGCUGCUUACCGCGGUACCAAACCCUAUCAAACUCCGAAUACUUCAUGUGUAACCUCGGGAGUCAGGCGUAGGGUGAUAAAAUCCUAUGUCGAGAGGGGAACAACCCAGACUAACAGCUAAGGUCCCAAAGUCUUGUCUAAGUGGAAAAGGAUGUGGAGUUGCUGUGACAACCAGGAGGUUGGCUUAGAAGCAGCCAUCCUUUAAAGAAAGCGUAACAGCUCACUGGUCUAGCGAUUCUGCGCCGAAAAUAUAACGGGGCUAAGACAAGCACCGAAGCUUUAGAUUUGGUAUUUAUACCAAGUGGUAGGAGAGCGUUCCAUUCAGCGCUGAAGGUAUACCGGCAAGGAGUACUGGAGCGGAUGGAAGUGAGCAUGCAGGCAUGAGUAGCGAGAAAAGAAGUGAGAAUCUUCUUCGCCGUAAACCCAAGGUUUCCUACGCGAUGCUCGUCAUCGUAGGGUUAGUCGGGACCUAAGUCGAGUCCGAAAGGGGUAGACGAUGGCAAAUCGGUUAAUAUUCCGAUACCGACAUUAUAUCGUUUGAGUGAUGGGGGGACGCAUAGAGUUAGACGAGGUCACUGAUGGAAUAGUGGCUCGAAGGACGUAGGUCGUGAAGUAGGCAAAUCCGCUUCACAUGAGACCGAGAUCUUACAGGCAGACCAAUCUCUUCGGAGAGCGGUUUGAAUCGUCGAUACUGUCGUGCCGAGAAAAGCCUCUAAACGAGAUAUAAUGUUGCCCGUACCGUAAACCAACACAGGUGGGUGAGAUGAGUAUUCUAAGGCGCGUGGAUGAACCAUUGUUAAGGAACUCUGCAAACUAGCACCGUAUCUUCGGUAUAAGGUGUGCCCUAUUUGUUAUGAGAUUUACUCUCAAAAGCAUUGAUGGGUGGCAGCAAAGUGUCCCUCCCGACUGUUUACCAAAAACACAGCACUCUGCUAACUCGUAAGAGGAUGUAUAGGGUGUGACGCCUGCCCGGUGCUCGAAGGUUAAAAGGAUCCGUUAGCUUUGCGAAGCGGUGAAUUGAAGCCCGAGUAAACGGCGGCCGUAACUAUAACGGUCCUAAGGUAGCGAAAUUCCUUGUCGGUUAAAUACCGACCUGCAUGAAUGGCGUAACGAGAUGGGAGCUGUCUCAACAAUGGAUCCAGUGAAAUUGUAGUGGAGGUGAAAAUUCCUCCUACCCGCGGAAAGACGGAAAGACCCCGUGCACCUUUACUAUAGCUUGACACUGCUAUUGGGAUAUUCAUGUGCAGGAUAGGUGGGAGCCUUUGAUUCAUAGACGCCAGUUUAUGAUGAGGCAUCCUUGAGAUACCACCCUUGAAUAUUCUGAUAGCUAACUCCGUACAAUUAUCUUGUGCGAGGACAAUGUCUGGUGGGUAGUUUGACUGGGGCGGUCGCCUCCUAAAAAGUAACGGAGGCUUACAAAGUUCGGCUCAGGUGGGUUGGAAAUCCACCGUAGAGUAUAAUGGCAUAAGCCGGACUGACUGUGAGACAUACAAGUCGAGCAGAGUCGAAAGACGGUCAUAGUGAUCCGGUGGUUCUGUGUGGAAGGGCCAUCGCUCAAAGGAUAAAAGGUACGCCGGGGAUAACAGGCUGAUCUCCCCCAAGAGCUCACAUCGACGGGGAGGUUUGGCACCUCGAUGUCGGCUCAUCGCAUCCUGGGGCUGGAGCAGGUCCCAAGGGUAUGGCUGUUCGCCAUUUAAAGCGGUACGCGAGCUGGGUUCAGAACGUCGUGAGACAGUUCGGUCCCUAUCUUCCGUGGGCGUAGGAUUGUUGAGGAGAGUUGACCCUAGUACGAGAGGACCGGGUUGAACGUGCCACUGGUGCACCAGUUGUUCUGCCAAGAGCAUCGCUGGGUAGCUACGCACGGAUGAGAUAACCGCUGAAAGCAUCUAAGCGGGAAGCCAACUCCAAGAUGAACAAUCCCUGAAGUACGCUUGAAGACUACAAGCUUGAUAGGCUGGGUGUGUACGCAUCGCAAGAUGUUUAGCUGACCAGUACUAAUAGUACGUUCGUCUUUUUUUAAAAA
RNAcentral lists this ribosomal RNA (2891 nucleotides) under Sulfurimonas aquatica. RNAcentral describes it as "Sulfurimonas sp. H1576 23S ribosomal RNA". It matches the Rfam family "Bacterial large subunit ribosomal RNA". The record is from RNAcentral. Lineage: Bacteria; Pseudomonadati; Campylobacterota; Epsilonproteobacteria; Campylobacterales; Sulfurimonadaceae.